CUCCUCAUCUGUAAAACAGAGAUAGUCAACAAAUGUAGUUUAGGGGCGCCUGGUGGCUCAGUCGGCUAAAUGUCUGGCUCUUGGUUUUGGCCCAGGUCAUGAUCUCUUGGUUUUGUGAGUUCAAGCCCAGGGUCAGUCUCUGUGUUGACAGCACAGAGCCUGCUUGGGAUUUUCUCUCUCUUUGCCCCUCCCCUCCUUGUGCUGCUCUCGGUCUCUCUCAAAAUAAAUAAACUUAAAAAAAAAAAAAAAAGAAUCCAGUUACAGAUUUCUCGUAAGGACUGGAAGAAGAGAUCAACCUUGCCCGGUACUUAGUAUUCCAUCUCACUAUAUAUCAUAAUGAUCAUCAAAGAUCUACUUUGCGUAUUUAAAUAAUAAAAUUUGCUCUUAACUAUACAUGAUUUGCCAAAAAGUCAUUGUCUCUCUGUCUUUUUCUCCAUUCCCUCCCUAGCUAUUUCCUAGCAUUGAAGAAUUUACGUGGAAAGUCAAGAGCGUCUCAUUUCCUAGAACUAAAGUAAGUACGUCCCCUACUAGGUUCCUGCUCACACAGUCUCAGAAGACCCUCUCCCGAAAUCCCACCAGACCUUCUCCCAGGAUGACCUAAAUGCAGACAGUCAGCUGGUACUCCAGGUUCCAAUCAGGGAAAACAACCGUACAACCUUCUACGGUAGCUUCUAGAAGGCAGCCAGUCUCCUUAUGAGCUUCUCUUUCACGGCGCCUAGAACCCAGCUCUCGUGGCAAGUACGCAGGCCAGGAAGGCAAAAAGGAAGUGCAAGACACCAUCGCACCUAGAUUCCAGAAAGCUUUCGCUCCGUUUGGAUCAACUUGAGAGGAUGCGCUAAUAAACAGGGUUUCCAGAGAUCCUGGGAAGCAGCCCGGAGACCGGAGCCGGGGCACCUGGUGGGAGCUUCAGCGCACCUUCCUCCCUGGAACAGCGCUGUCACUUGGCACCGUUGUCCUGGCAAGUCAGCCCUGUUCACAGUCCCUCUGACUGGUCAGCCCUGUCCUUCCAGAUACGCCUUUCUGACAUCUUGCCUCCACGGUGCUGCCUUGCUGGAGGGGGGGUUCUCACCUGGGCCGUCACAGGGUCCAGCCUUCAAUCAGGAUGCUCCCCAGGUAUUUCCAAAUCACCAGGAGGAAUGUGGGCUGUGCUCCAGGCUGAUUCCUCCCACCCUCCCUCCCGUUCUUUCCUCUCUCCCUUCCUGUCUUCCUUCCUUUCCACUGUCCUUUCUACCUUCCUGCCCCUUAUUUAUUGACUUCCUGCUAUAUGCGGGGCACUAAGAGUUUGUUAAUUACCUGGGGGUUAGGCUGAGCUCUUAGAUUUGAAGAUGAGGGAAACAGUGUUGAAAGCACCUAAAGGAGAAGAAAAUUUAUGGGGUGUGUGUUGCAUAAAUGCCCUUCGCUAAUCAGAAAGAUUGUGAAAUGAUUUGGACUUGAAUAAGUCGACGAAGGGGGCAGAGGGGCAAACGGCAAAGCUCGGAGACAGUAGGUGCAGAAAGAGUGAUAGCGCAAAAAUAAAUCCGCAGUGCAUAUCAAAUGAAUUUGUGCAGUGCUCCUCCUGUUCAUCCCGACCUGGGCCGGCGGCAAGGGGAACCGAGAGAAAAGUGGAAAAGAUGCUCUGGGGAGGCGUCUUGCUUCGGAGCUGCUGACCGAUACACUACGCGUGGAUUCCCCGGGGAUUUCCAGGCGGGUGGCUGUGGAACAGGCAGAGGUUUAGUGGUUUCCCAGGAAGGAAUAAAUUUCCUGCAGUGAAUCACCCUGUGUCAAGGAGGAUUUUUGUGACAUCAGCUCCAAGCAGAACAUCGAGGCUUUCCCACUCAAGAGGGCAUUGGAGCAUAACACCACCAUGGCCCACACUUUAUUUUUUCUUUCUUGUAUUUUCCAAAGGGCCAUUUGGACCAAAAGUGGCCUGUGGCCCCUGGAAACUCUGAGUAACGGCUUGGCAUCUUCGGAAUCUGUCUGUCGUGCUUUGUGGAAGAGUCUGGAAAGGUCUAGUUCUGUCUGGAAAACAAAACUCACGGUUGUUAAUGUGAAAGUGUAACCCUGCUUCUUCCUUUUCUUCUAAUAAAUGCUGCAAACUUGAAAUAAAAUGAAUUAGACCCCUUGGA
Neofelis nebulosa (Clouded leopard) is the source of this 2105-nucleotide long non-coding RNA. RefSeq lists it as uncharacterized. NCBI's taxonomy places the organism in Eukaryota, Metazoa, Chordata, Mammalia, Carnivora, Felidae. The record is from RefSeq and is a predicted model, not a curated record. The transcript is spliced from 2 exons.